RNAcentral lists this ribosomal RNA (593 nucleotides) under Paecilomyces variotii. RNAcentral describes it as "eukaryotic LSU rRNA". It matches the Rfam family "Eukaryotic large subunit ribosomal RNA", at positions 40 to 648 of the family's 3401-position model. Lineage: Eukaryota; Fungi; Ascomycota; Eurotiomycetes; Eurotiales; Thermoascaceae. The record is from RNAcentral.
AUAUCAAUAAGCGGAGGAAAAGAAACCAACAGGGAUUGCCCCAGUAACGGCGAGUGAAGCGGCAAGAGCUCAAAUUUGAAAUCUGGCCCCUCCGGGGUCCGAGUUGUAAUUUGCAGAGGAUGCUUCGGGCGCGGUCCCCGUCUAAGUACCCUGGAACGGGUCGUCAUAGAGGGUGAGAAUCCCGUCUGGGACGGGUGGCCGUGUCCGUGUGAAGCUCCUUCGACGAGUCGAGUUGUUUGGGAAUGCAGCUCUAAAUGGGUGGUAAAUUUCAUCUAAAGCUAAAUAUUGGCCGGAGACCGAUAGCGCACAAGUAGAGUGAUCGAAAGAUGAAAAGCACUUUGAAAAGAGAGUUAAACAGCACGUGAAAUUGUUGAAAGGGAAGCGCUUGCGACCAGACUCGCCCGCGGGGGUUCAGCCGGUACUCGUACCGGUGUACUCCCCCGGGGGCGGGCCAGCGUCGGUUUGGGCGGUCGGUCAAAGGCCUCCGGAAUGUGUCGCCCCCCGGGGCGUCUUAUAGCCGGAGGUGCAAUGCGGCCAGCCUGGACCGAGGAACGCGCUUCGGCUCGGACGCUGGCGUAAUGGUCGUAAGCGGC